RNAcentral lists this Y RNA (102 nucleotides) under Carlito syrichta (Philippine tarsier). RNAcentral describes it as "Y RNA (ENSTSYG00000034655.1)". It matches the Rfam family "Y RNA". Rfam says of the family: Y RNAs are components of the Ro ribonucleoprotein particle (Ro RNP), in association with Ro60 and La proteins. The Y RNAs and Ro60 and La proteins are well conserved, but the function of the Ro RNP is not known. Lineage: Eukaryota; Metazoa; Chordata; Mammalia; Primates; Tarsiidae. The record is from RNAcentral.
GGUGGGUCCCAGUGCAGUGGUGUUUGCAACUAAUUCAUCACAACCAGUUACGGGUUUCUUUGUUCCUUCUCCACUCCCACUGCUUCGCUUGACCUAGUAAAA